UGGGGGGGGCUUUCCAAUGCAGUCGAACGAGGUCCAUUGCGAGCUUGCUCAAGAGAAGACCUAGUGGCGAACGGGUGCGUAACACGUGAGGAACCUGCCCCAGACUUGGGAAUAACAGUCGGAAACGGCUGCUAAUACCGAAUACCUUCGUCGCGUCGCAUGGCGCAUCGAAGAAAGCUUUUGCGGUUUGGGAGGGCCUCGCGGCCUAUCAGCUUGUUGGUGAGGUAACGGCUCACCAAGGCAUCGACGGGUAGCUGGUCUGAGAGGAUGAUCAGCCACACUGGGACUGAGACACGGCCCAGACUCCUACGGGAGGCAGCAGUGGGGAAUAUUGCACAAUGGGCGAAAGCCUGAUGCAGCAACGCCGCGUGCGGGAAGAAGGCCCUAGGGUUGUAAACCGCUUUCAGCAGGGAAGAAACUGACGGUACCUGCAGAAGAAGGUGCGGCCAACUACGUGCCAGCAGCCGCGGUAAUAAUCUA
This 480-nucleotide ribosomal RNA is filed under the name uncultured Ilumatobacter sp. Its description in RNAcentral is "bacterial SSU rRNA". It matches the Rfam family "Bacterial small subunit ribosomal RNA", at positions 39 to 529 of the family's 1533-position model. Lineage: Bacteria; Bacillati; Actinomycetota; Acidimicrobiia; Acidimicrobiales; Ilumatobacteraceae. The record is from RNAcentral.